UUUUUGUCUGCAGAAGCAGAUCGAAGGCAAACACAACAAACAAUAUGUAGUGCUACCUUUAAAAGCUGAGAGAUCUGUCACAAUGAUUCAACCCCUUUUCUUUGCUUUUUAAUGAUGCUCUUAUACAUACAUACAUUCGGCCAUAGUCCUCCUAGUUGACUUGUCAUUGUAUAAAACACUCAAAAGAUGCUUUCCCUCCUAACAAUGCCAACUUUUCUGCAUGAAAGUGCUAAUUGAGUGAGAGCAUUAAGGUUUCUUAAUCAACAAAUGUUAUGGUCGAUAAUAUGGCUCCUUUACAAAAGGUCUAUGGCUCGUUGUAUUCACACUUUCAUCAGUUUUUUGUCCUUAAUGCUAUAGAAUAAUUCCCUGACAAUAAUCUCAUAUGUCCUACACUUCCUUCCCAUGAAAAGAAGAGAAAAAGUUGAGCCAGCGAAAGUGAUGGAAACAUACCUAUAUUAUUAUGCCAAAAAUGCAUGCAAAACCUUUUUGCCAUUUUGUUUUCAAUUAUACUUGCUUUUAGUAUGGGAAGGAAAGUACAAAAGAAACCCAAAGUAUUCCCAUAUUAAACUACUUCAUAUCCAAUAAUAAUAAAUUUAUAAAAAAAGGGUGUCAAAAUACUGUACAAUGCCCUUCUUCAGAAUUAGAUAGCCAAUGUAAGGACAAUAAACUCAAUUGAAG
This 678-nucleotide small RNA is filed under the name Vigna angularis var. angularis. RNAcentral's name for it is "Non-protein coding transcript". The record is from RNAcentral. Lineage: Eukaryota; Viridiplantae; Streptophyta; Magnoliopsida; Fabales; Fabaceae.